UGCAGGGUCAAGGCUGCACAGGAUUGCCUCCCCCUCUCAGGGUAAUAUUUGACUUCAUGUGGGAGGAGGCUAUGAGAAGAGCCUGGGGAGCCGCUCCAUGUUCAGAUCAGGUGCCGAUCUGACCCCUCAGAGGAAGGACGACCCUGAGCUGUGCAGGCCGUCGGGCCAUAUUGCCAUGGAUUCUUCUGCUGGAACAUGGUGCUUCACUUCAGUGCGUCAGCUCUGAAUAGACGAUGGGACGCCGCUAUUUUCAAUGAGCGAGACUGGAGGCCGAUUGUAGCACUUCGUAAUCAGCCUCAUGCAAUGGAUACUGGGAAUGCACAACAUUGCACAGGUGCCAAGUCUCCAAUUUGUGAUACGAAAGAGACUUCUUGUCGUAACUGUUGCAGAAGUAGUUUAUAGCAUCAGGGUUAGAAAGAAAAAGUCAUUCACAAAUCAUCGUAGACAUUUUGAUGUAUGAAAUUAUUCCUCAUUCUCAAAAUGACGGACUAUAAUGUAUAGCAUGGACAAUAGAUUCCCACUUUCCAUACGGUGAACCAGUUUCUGGAUUUUUAGGGAGCUUCCUCUUCAAACUUUGCAGCACAGUCCUUCAAGGCUGUAGGUUUAUGACGUCAUUAUUUGUGCUCAGAAGCUCAAUCUUUACUUCUGCAGGCAUGUUAUGAGAGAAAUCCUGGCCUCCUGGCUUCUGCCCUCAGCUGUCAGUAACUGGAAUCUGUCACUGCAAAGAAUCAAAGAGCAGGGCUGAUCCUGUUGCUGCCCCCUGGUGGCAGGGAAGACUGCACACCAGAUCAGGUUGCACUGUCUCAGAGUACAGAUAUGAUGGGUUGCUGAUCUCUCUGAAUACAUAGGUGAAUUCAUGGCUUUUUGAUUGAUUACCCUUUUGAAUUUUAAUGGUUGCUGUGUUCCAUAACAAAAUAUGAGCUGCAUGCACAGAACAGCAUGAACAGUACAACAGGACCAAGUAGCUGAUAGAAGUGUUUUGUAAGUUGCCCAGGUCUUUUACCUUAUCACUUAUCUUGCUUCUAUUAGAAGGGUCUGUAUGUUUUGUUUCCUGUUCAUUGGUGUUUUUAAUGCAAUCACAGAAUUCUGGAAUAGGGAGGAAUAUUUGAACCACUGACAACAGUACCUGCAGGGGGGAAAGAAGGGGAUCAGAAAUAUGCAUGACAGAUAGGAAACUGUCCAGGUGUAAUUAUAUGAAAGCCUGCCACAAUCAGAUCUACAUUUAUUUUUUUUCAGACAUUCAGCAGGUAAUUCUGACACCCUGCAAAACGUGGUGUUCCAAAAACAGAUGCUAUUCAAAUGAUCCUGCCACUUUUCAAUUCCCAGGGUUGGGCAAUAAACUGUUGCACAAUCA
Long non-coding RNA from Anguilla anguilla (European eel), 1354 nucleotides. RefSeq lists it as uncharacterized. The transcript has 2 exons. Lineage: Eukaryota; Metazoa; Chordata; Actinopteri; Anguilliformes; Anguillidae. The record is from RefSeq and is a predicted model, not a curated record.